GACGAGAGUCGACUUGGAGGUUGUGCCCUUGAGGCGUGGCUUCCGGAGCUAACGCGUUAAGUCGACCGCCUGGGGAGUACGGCCGCAAGGUUAAAACUCAAAUGAAUUGACGGGGGCCCGCACAAGCGGUGGAGCAUGUGGUUUAAUUCGAUGCAACGCGAAGAACCUUACCUGGUCUUGACAUCCACGGAAGUUUUCAGAGAUGAGAAUGUGCCUUCGGGAACCGUGAGACAGGUGCUGCAUGGCUGUCGUCAGCUCGUGUUGUGAAAUGUUGGGUUAAGUCCCGCAACGAGCGCAACCCUUAUCCUUUGUUGCCAGCGGUCCGGCCGGGAACUCAAAGGAGACUGCCAGUGAUAAACUGGAGGAAGGUGGGGAUGACGUCAAGUCAUCAUGGCCCUUACGACCAGGGCUACACACGUGCUACAAUGGCGCAUACAAAGAGAAGCGACCUCGCGAGAGCAAGCGGACCUCAUAAAGUGCGUCGUAGUCCGGAUUGGAGUCUGCAACUCGACUCCAUGAAGUCGGAAUCGCUAGUAAUCGUGGAUCAGAAUGCCACGGUGAAUACGUUCCCGGGCCUUGUACACACCGCCCGUCACACCAUGGGAGUGGGUUGCAAAAGAAGUAGGUAGCUUAACCUUCGGGAGGGCGCUUACCACUUUGUGAUUCAUGACUGGGGUGAAGUCGUACGGCAUCCUAAAAAAAUUUUCCAACCUGGGGUUUUCAUAUUGAAAAAUUGGUUUUACUAAAGGGGGACAUCUCCCGCUGGGGCAGUUCCCUCAAAACUAUCGACUUUCCGCGGCUACACGGGGAGAUCUGCCCGCUUCGAAGCAAACUCAUUAUGUCAGUCUGCAGCGAGUCGCAGGUGAGCCGGCGUAUUACACUUUGGACUGACACGCACUGCGUGGCAUUAGGCUAUAAUCCAGAUACGGUAGCCCCUCCGAAUACCGCGUGCUGACGGAUUAGCGGAUCUCUUCUGGAACCGUAAGACAGGUAUGCUGCCUCUCCGCGUGAGUGUAACCGAGAGCUUCAACUGUGGUCACGGUCGCAUGU
This 1050-nucleotide ribosomal RNA is filed under the name Escherichia coli. RNAcentral's name for it is "bacterial SSU rRNA". The stretch from base 1 to 710 matches the Rfam family "Bacterial small subunit ribosomal RNA", at positions 801 to 1533 of the family's 1533-position model. Lineage: Bacteria; Pseudomonadati; Pseudomonadota; Gammaproteobacteria; Enterobacterales; Enterobacteriaceae. The record is from RNAcentral.